This 401-nucleotide long non-coding RNA is filed under the name Physcomitrium patens. Its description in RNAcentral is "long non-coding RNA (PPAT_LNC013808)". The record is from RNAcentral. Lineage: Eukaryota; Viridiplantae; Streptophyta; Bryopsida; Funariales; Funariaceae.
CCGUUGCAUCUGUGAAUGGCGUGACUACCUCCCGAGUUGUGUCGCAGGUGAGGAUGAGCUUCGUCUCCGGAAGUGGGUCGACGCUCAGGGGAAACGCAUUGAUAGCUAAGGUGGCGAAGGCCACGUCCGUCCCAUCGUCGAGCUCCAGCAGGGGGGUUGUGGUGGCGUCGGCAGAGACUGCUGCUGGUGGGUACGCCGCGGCUUUGGCCGAUCUUUCCCAGUCCAACAACGACCUGGAGAAGAUCGCCAAGGACAUGGAGGGUCUGGGUGAGCUCCUGAACAACGACACCUUGUAUAAUUUCUUGGUGUCUCCCAUCAUUGACGGUGACAAGAAGAAGAGCAUUAUCAAGACCGUUGCUGAGGAUGCAGAAUUCAGCGCUGUCACCCUCUCCUUCCUCAAC